This 639-nucleotide ribosomal RNA is filed under the name uncultured bacterium. Its description in RNAcentral is "partial 16S ribosomal RNA". The record is from RNAcentral.
CGAAGGGACCGAGCGGNACCGCCGGCGCCCUUAAGCUANUGCGCUUCUUGGAAUGGUCCGGAACUGUAGGUUACUUGAAAGGUCUCUACCUAACCACGGAAGCCCUUGUAACUCUGUCCACGACGUACCGACAGCAGUCGAGCACAGCACUCUACAACCCAAUUCAGGGCAUUGCUCGCGUUGGGAACAGGAAUCAAUGGUCGUGCAUUACCACCCGUGAGAUUCCUCUGACGGCCACUGUUUGGCCUCCUUCCACCCCUACUGCAGUUCAGUAGUACCGGGAAUGCCGGACCCGAUGUGUGCACGAUGUUACCAGCCAUGUCUCCCAACGGUUCGGCGCUCCACCUCGAUUAGAGUGUUUUGGCUAGCAUCAGGCCUAGCGUCAGACGUUGAGCUGACGCACUUCAGCCUUAGCGAUCANUAGCGCUUAGUNUUACAGCGCCACUUAUGCAAGGGCCCGGAACAUGUGUGGCNUAGUGAUNACUUAAGNGCCGGCGGACGUCCAGCUGGUAUACCCUCUCGAGGGUUGCGCAACCCUACGUANNGANCUNANAAGANAUCACNGUGGAUUUNANCGAAACCGNANNAGUACCAANUAUCGGACAAAGGACACACUUUAACAAUAGGGNGAAGUNUUAA